UACGUAGGGUGCGAGCGUUGUCCGGAAUUACUGGGCGUAAAGAGCUCGUAGGUGGUUUGUCGCGUUGUUCGUGAAAUCUCACGGCUUAACUGUGAGCGUGCGGGCGAUACGGGCAGACUAGAGUACUGCAGGGGAGACUGGAAUUCCUGGUGUAGCGGUGGAAUGCGCAGUUAUCGGGAGGAACACCGGUGGCGAAGGCGGUUCUCUGGGCCUGUACUGACGCUGAGGAGCGAAAGCGUGGGGAGCGAACAGG
RNAcentral lists this ribosomal RNA (253 nucleotides) under uncultured bacterium. Its description in RNAcentral is "partial 16S ribosomal RNA". It matches the Rfam family "Bacterial small subunit ribosomal RNA", at positions 524 to 776 of the family's 1533-position model. The record is from RNAcentral.